This 747-nucleotide unclassified non-coding RNA is filed under the name Hevea brasiliensis (rubber tree). Lineage: Eukaryota; Viridiplantae; Streptophyta; Magnoliopsida; Malpighiales; Euphorbiaceae. The record is from RNAcentral.
GAAGGAGACAUGUGUGCUUCUGCAACUGGGGUUGUAAGAGUGCAGUCAAGAAGGAAAUCAGAAAUGUUUUUAGUAAGAACUGAUGGUUUUUCUUGUACCAGAGAAAAGGUUACUAAAUCUUCCUUGGCCUUCACUCAUCCAAGUACCCAGCAACAGAUGCUUAUGUGGAAAUCAACACCAAAGACUGUAUUGCUGUUGAAGAAGCUGGGGAAGGAACUCAUGGAAGAAGCUAAAGAGGUUGCCUCUUUCCUUUAUCACCAAGAGAAAAUGAAUGUGCUUGUUGAACCUGAUGUUCAUGACAUAUUUGCUAGAAUCCCAGGGUUUGGAUUUAUUCAGACCUUUUACAGUCAAGAUACCAGUGAUCUUCAUGAAAGGGUUGAUUUUGUGGCAUGCUUGGGGGGAGAUGGGGUUAUACUCCAUGCAUCAAAUUUAUUUAGAGGUGCUGUUCCUCCUGUUGUAUCCUUUAAUCUUGGAUCUCUUGGAUUUCUGACUUCUCAUAAUUUUGAAGACUACAAGCAGGACUUAAGACAGGUCAUUCAUGGGAAUAAGACAGUGGGUGGUGUUUAUAUAACCCUCAGUAUGCGCCUCCAUUGUGAAAUAUUUCGCAAUGGUAAAGCAGUUCCUGGGAAAGUUUUUGGAGGUGGUUGUUGACCGGGGUUCUAAUCCAUAUAUUUCAAAGAUUGAAUGUUAUGAACAUGAUCGACUUAUAACCAAGGUGCAAGGUGAUGGAAUCAUAAUAGCCACACC